RNAcentral lists this ribosomal RNA (762 nucleotides) under uncultured Actinomycetes bacterium. RNAcentral describes it as "bacterial SSU rRNA". It matches the Rfam family "Bacterial small subunit ribosomal RNA", at positions 573 to 1335 of the family's 1533-position model. Lineage: Bacteria; Bacillati; Actinomycetota; Actinomycetes. The record is from RNAcentral.
AGGCGGUCUGUCACGUCGGAAGUGAAAACUCAGGGCUUAACCCUGAGCCUGCUUCCGAUACGGGCAGACUAGAGGGAUGCAGGGGAGAACGGAAUUCCUGGUGGAGCGGUGGAAUGCGCAGAUAUCAGGAGGAACACCGGUGGCGAAGGCGGUUCUCUGGGCAUCAUCUGACGCUGAGAAGCGAAAGCGUGGGGAGCAAACAGGCUUAGAUACCCUGGUAGUCCACGCCGUAAACGGUGGGCACUAGGUGUGGGACUCAUUCCACGAGUUCCGUGCCGUAGCUAACGCAUUAAGUGCCCCGCCUGGGGAGUACGGCCGCAAGGCUAAAACUCAAAGGAAUUGACGGGGGCCCGCACAAGCGGCGGAGCAUGCGGAUUAAUUCGAUGCAACGCGAAGAACCUUACCUGGGUUUGACAUAUGCCGGAAAGCUGCAGAGAUGCAGCCCCCGCAAGGUCGGUAUACAGGUGGUGCAUGGCUGUCGUCAGCUCGUGUCGUGAGAUGUUGGGUUAAGUCCCGCAACGAGCGCAACCCUCGUCCUAUGUUGCCAGCGGGUCAUGCCGGGGACUCAUAGGAGACUGCCGGGGUCAACUCGGAGGAAGGUGGGGAUGACGUCAAGUCAUCAUGCCCCUUAUGUCCAGGGCUUCACGCAUGCUACAAUGGCUGGUACAAAGAGCUGCGAAACCGCAAGGUCAAGCGAAUCUCAAAAAGCCAGUCUCAGUUCGGAUUGGGGUCUGCAACUCGACCCCAUGAAGUCGGAGUCGC